UCCUACGGGAGGCAGCAGUGAGGAAUAUUGGUCAAUGGUCGGGAGACUGAACCAGCCAAGCCGCGUGAGGGAUGAAGAUACAGAGUAUCGUAAACCUCUUUUGUCAGGGAACAAAGGCGGGGACGUGUCCCCGGAUGAGUGUACCUGAAGAAAAAGCAUCGGCUAACUCCGUGCCAGCAGCCGCGGUAAUACGGAGGAUGCGAGCGUUAUCCGGAUUUAUUGGGUUUAAAGGGUGCGCAGGCGGUCUGUUAAGUCAGCGGUCAAAGCCCGGGGCUCAACCCCGGCCCGCCGUUGAAACUGGCAGU
RNAcentral lists this ribosomal RNA (305 nucleotides) under uncultured bacterium. Its description in RNAcentral is "bacterial SSU rRNA". It matches the Rfam family "Bacterial small subunit ribosomal RNA", at positions 337 to 640 of the family's 1533-position model. The record is from RNAcentral.